RNAcentral lists this unclassified non-coding RNA (210 nucleotides) under Hevea brasiliensis (rubber tree). The record is from RNAcentral. Lineage: Eukaryota; Viridiplantae; Streptophyta; Magnoliopsida; Malpighiales; Euphorbiaceae.
CUAGGGUUUAAAGGAUGAGAUAGAGAAGGAGGGAGAUCUGAUUUUGAGAGAGAAAAAUCAAUGGCGAAGUUGUGAUUGUUGAAGUGAGUGUCACUAAUUUUUAUUGAUUUGGGUUAAUUGCUAAUUGCAUUUCUUAAUUGAAAGUUUAGUAGAAAGAGGAAGCAAUCAAGAGAUCGUUCAUCCUUGUCCUUGGACAGUGGACAUUUUCCA